UUUAUUAUUUCCAUUAAUUUCUACAUCAAAAAUUAAAAAAAUUACAGCAAUUAAAAAGAAUUGUAAUGAAAAGGGUAAUCGAGCUGUAUUUUUAGGAUCAAAUCCACAUUCAAAUGGUGAUCUUUUUUCUCGAUCAGAAAAUCUUUUUUUAGAAAUUAAAUUUAAUAGAAUAAUUAAUAUAAAAUUAAUUAAGGUGAUUAUAAUAGUUAGUAAAAAAAUAAUUUUAAUUAUUUAUACUAGUUUUCUAGAUUUUUUGAUUGGAAGUCAAAUAUAAUUAUUAUAUUAUAUAAAUUAUUUAUCUACCUCAUCAAUAGAUAGAAAUAUAUAGGAAUAAUCAUACAACAUCAACAAAAUGUCAGUAUCAAGCAGCAGCUUCGAAUCCAAAGUGAUGAAUACAUCUAAAAUGUCCUAAAAUAUGACGAAUUAGACAUACUAAUAAAAAAGUAGAACCAAUAAUUACAUGAAGUCCAUGAAAACCAGUUGCUAUAAAAAAUGCUGAUCCAUACACUGAAUCAGCAAUAGUAAAUGGAGCUUCAAUAUAUUCAUAAGUUUGUAAGAGAGUGAAAUAUAUUCCUAAUAUUACAGUUAAAAUUAAUCUGUUUAAUCUUUGGGUAUAAUUAUUUUCUAUUAGUCUAUGAUGAGCUCAAGUUACUGUAAGUCCUGAAGUUAAUAAAAUUAAUGUAUUUAAUAAAGGAAUUUCAAUUGGAUUAAAAGUUUGAAUUCCUUUGGGGGGUCAAAUUAUUCCUAAUUCAAUGCUAGGAGAUAAUGAUCUAUGAAAAAAUCCUCAAAAAAAAGAUAAAAAAAAGAAUACUUCAGAUGUAAUAAAAAGAAUUAUUCCUCAUCGUAGUCCUAUAGUUACAUUAUAUGUAUGAUGUCCUUGAUAGGUUCUUUCUCGUGUAAUGUCUCGUCAUCAUUGAUAUAU
Long non-coding RNA from Anoplophora glabripennis (Asian longhorned beetle), 922 nucleotides. RefSeq lists it as uncharacterized. NCBI's taxonomy places the organism in Eukaryota, Metazoa, Arthropoda, Insecta, Coleoptera, Cerambycidae. The transcript has 3 exons. The record is from RefSeq and is a predicted model, not a curated record.